This 253-nucleotide unclassified non-coding RNA is filed under the name uncultured Verrucomicrobiota bacterium. RNAcentral describes it as "uncultured Verrucomicrobia bacterium contains 16S-23S intergenic spacer region". It matches the Rfam family "Bacterial small subunit ribosomal RNA", at positions 524 to 776 of the family's 1533-position model. Lineage: Bacteria; Pseudomonadati; Verrucomicrobiota. The record is from RNAcentral.
UACGUAGGUGGCAAGCGUUGUUCGGAUUCACUGGGCGUAAAGGGUGCGCAGGUGGCCGGGUAAGUUUGAUGUGAAAUCUCCGGGCUCAACCCGGAAAAUGCAUUGGAUACUAUUCGGCUCGAGGUUUGGAGGGGGGACUGGAAUUCUCGGUGUAGCAGUGAAAUGCGUAGAUAUCGAGAGGAACACCAGUGGCGAAGGCGAGUCCCUGGACAACACCUGACACUGAAGCACGAAAGCUAGGGGAGCAAACAGG